RNAcentral lists this ribosomal RNA (301 nucleotides) under uncultured bacterium. RNAcentral's name for it is "partial 16S ribosomal RNA". It matches the Rfam family "Archaeal small subunit ribosomal RNA", at positions 459 to 759 of the family's 1478-position model. The record is from RNAcentral.
CAGUCGCCGCGGGAAUACCAGCAGCCCAAGUGGUGGUCGCGCUUAUUGGGCCUAAAGCGCUCGUAGCCUGGCCGGUAAGUUCCCCGUGAAAUCGGGUCGCCCAACGAUUCGGCUUGCGGGGAAUACUGUCGGUCUUGGGGCCGGGAGACGCCGAGGGUACUCCGGGGGUAGCGGUGAAAUGCUGUAAUCCUCGGGGGACUACCAGUGGCGAAGGCGCUCGGCGAUAACGGGCCUGACGGUGAGGGGCGAAAGCUGGGGGCGCGAACGGGAUUAGAUACCCCAGUAGUCCCUGUCUCUUAUA